This 204-nucleotide unclassified non-coding RNA is filed under the name Basidiomycota sp. Its description in RNAcentral is "partial contains small subunit ribosomal RNA, internal transcribed spacer 1, and 5.8S ribosomal RNA". The stretch from base 1 to 47 matches the Rfam family "Eukaryotic small subunit ribosomal RNA", at positions 1785 to 1831 of the family's 1831-position model. The record is from RNAcentral. Lineage: Eukaryota; Fungi; Basidiomycota.
AAAGUCGUAACAAGGUUUCCGUAGGUGAACCUGCGGAAGGAUCAUUAGUGAUUACUAGGAUGUCUGUUGAGUCCGAAACCCCACUUGAAACACUGUGCACUACUGCUGUGAAAGGGACAACCCGAACAGCUGCUCACACACACUCUGGUUAAUGCAUGUGCUUUAUAAUAAGAAAAACUUUCAACAACGGAUCUCUUGGCUCUC